GACCUGAUGCAGCCAUGCCGCGUGUGUGAAGAAGGCCUUCGGGUUGUAAAGCACUUUCAGUUGUGAGGAAAGGUUGGUAGUUAAUACCUGCCAGCUGUGACGUUAACAACAGAAGAAGCACCGGCUAACUCCGUGCCAGCAGCCGCGGUAAUACGGAGGGUGCGAGCGUUAAUCGGAAUUACUGGGCGUAAAGCGCACGCAGGCGGUUUGUUAAGCUAGAUGUGAAAGCCCCGGGCUCAACCUGGGAUGGUCAUUUAGAACUGGCAGACUAGAGUCUUGGAGAGGGGAGUGGAAUUCCAGGUGUAGCGGUGAAAUGCGUAGAUAUCUGGAGGAACAUCAGUGGCGAAGGCGGCUCCCUGGCCAAAGACUGACGCUCAUGUGCGAAAGUGUGGGUAGCGAACAGGAUUAGAUACCCUGGUAGUCCACACCGUAAACGCUGUCUACUAGCUGUUUGUGAAUUUAAUUCGUGAGUAGCGAAGCUAACGCGCUAAGUAGACCGCCUGGGGAGUACGGCCGCAAGGUUAAAACUCAAA
Molecule: ribosomal RNA, 533 nt
Filed under: Alteromonas sp.
Lineage: Bacteria; Pseudomonadati; Pseudomonadota; Gammaproteobacteria; Alteromonadales; Alteromonadaceae
Description: bacterial SSU rRNA
Rfam family: Bacterial small subunit ribosomal RNA
Source: RNAcentral